AUAUAAAUGCUUUUGAAAUUCCCUACAGUCAGAAGAUUCCAGACAUGCCUUCAGAUGUAGUCGGAGCAUUAAUGUUUCUGGAGGACUAUGUGCGUUACACUAAACUGCCCAGAAAGGUGGCAGAGGCUCAUGUGCCGAGUUUCAUUUUCGAUGAAUUCAGGACUGUGCUGUAAACAUGCCUGUCAUAAUGUCAAAUCAUAUUCGAUAUCAUUCAUCUAUCUCUUAAAGCACUAAUGAAAUUGAGCAAUUAGCAUUUUUAACAUUUCAAUUUUUAAACAUGGUGAUCUUUUGUAGCUGACUGGAUGUCUGUCUGCUGGUGUAAUAAAUGUCAUAUGUGUGUUUUGAUACAA
This is a long non-coding RNA of Pimephales promelas (fathead minnow), 350 nucleotides long. RefSeq lists it as uncharacterized. Lineage: Eukaryota; Metazoa; Chordata; Actinopteri; Cypriniformes; Leuciscidae. The record is from RefSeq and is a predicted model, not a curated record.